CGGGCAAUCUUCUUUUUUUUCAUCAUCAAAAAGGUAUUUUGUAUUCAAAUAUGUUUCUGUAUAAAUAUAAAGUCAUUCGUUCUCUUCAAUAGACUUUUGUCUAAAAUGAAAACAAAUAGAAAAAACAAUGUUGUACGAAUUUAAAUACAUCUACCCCUAUGAUCUAUUCAUGUCUUUUACUUCCCCGACAAGGUCCGAAUUUUGUAACUCAACC
RNAcentral lists this long non-coding RNA (214 nucleotides) under Mytilus galloprovincialis (Mediterranean mussel). The record is from RNAcentral. Lineage: Eukaryota; Metazoa; Mollusca; Bivalvia; Mytilida; Mytilidae.